Molecule: ribosomal RNA, 20 nt
Filed under: Vincetoxicum villosum
Lineage: Eukaryota; Viridiplantae; Streptophyta; Magnoliopsida; Gentianales; Apocynaceae
Description: partial 26S ribosomal RNA
Source: RNAcentral
AUCGCAACGAUUGCGACCCC